Molecule: non-coding RNA, 354 nt
Organism: Leucoraja erinaceus (little skate)
Lineage: Eukaryota; Metazoa; Chordata; Chondrichthyes; Rajiformes; Rajidae
Source: the annotation of a RefSeq genome assembly
AUGUCGUUCCGGCCUCCUGCAGGGUAUUGUCGGGGGGAUUCCGUUUCACAGACAUCGGCUGCAACCGCAGUAAGCGAAGGUGGCGCCGUUGAGUUACGCUGUAAAUACACAGCCACGAGCACACAGGUUCCGUAUCUGUACUGGUACCGUCAAUAUCCCGGUGGACCCAUGGAAUUUAUGCUCUGGAUAAGCAAGUACAGCUCAAGCCAGGACAAUUCACCGGAUCAACACUUUUCAACCUCUCUUGAUGAUUCGGGGCGGAUCGUCAUAUUGACUGUGUCUGAAGCACAACUGGAAGACUCUGCAGCGUAUUACUGCGCCCUGAGCCCCCACGGCGUCUCGGCGCGGUGCUGA